AUGAGCCACUCUGCAGGGCUAUUUUUUUUUCACUUUCUCUUUAUCUUUACAGAUUAUUCUCUUUCUUGUAUCUUUUCUUCCUCCCUCCCCAUUAUUGUCCUAUUCUCUUUCUUUUCCUCUUCUCUUUUCAUUUUCAUGUCUCUUUAUUGCUUCUCAGAGGUGUAUGAAUGGAAUGGCAAAAUGCUGGUGUUGGAGACGUUGCCUUUGUGUUUCAGCCCAAACCCUGGUUUGGUUGUUACUCUUGACAGUGUUGGAAUAAUGGGUGUGUGGUGUACCUGAGAUGAUUGAUGAUCAUCUGGACAUAGGCACUGAGGGAGAAGGAGGUAUUAAAGCUGACUUCAGGGACAACCUGGGAGAAAGAUGGUAGAGUAGAACCAUCUAGUGCUCAUCCCACCACAGAAAUAUCAAUGUCAACAACUACCCGGAUAUGAAAAUACCUUCACAAGAGCUAUGAAAACCUGGCUGUAGCCCAAUAAAAGGCACAUUGAAGAAGGUAGGAUGGACAAUUUUACAUUACCUAAGUCAUCCCUCCCCAACUCUAGGCAGCACAGUGGUCCCAUCAGCUUGAGGCAAAGAGAGGGAAGUGAGCACAGGACAUUGACUUUGACCCCAACACUGGGCUGACACCAGCACCAGGCACAUCUCCACAGUCCAAACUAUAGAUCAGUAUCCAUGGACUGAUCCUCUAGACUGACCCUGGGGCCAGGUGAGGCCAUAUAGCCCUAGACUUCAGCCUGGUAAGAGGAUGCUUUCUCACUCUUUGACCCGUGCUACUGCUGGGCCAACAUCAGAAGCCCUGGGUUCUGGACAGCCCUUAGUUAUAGGCAGCCCUCAAGCUGCCCAGGCUUCUGACCUCUAUCUCACAUUAUAUUCAGAAAUCAACUCAAAAUGGAUUAAAGACCUAAUGUAAGAUUCAAAACUGUGAAGCCUAAGAAGAAAACAGUGAAAAAGCUCCAUGACAUUGACCUAAGCAAUAAAUUUUUGGACAUGACCUCAAAAGCACAGUCAAUAAAAACAAAAAUAGACAAAUGGGAUUAAAACAAAGAAAACAACCAAUAGAAUGAAGAGAUAACCUACAGAAGGAGAAAACAUUUGCAAACUAUACAUCUGAUAAAGAGUCAAUAUCUAAAAUAUAUAAGAAACUUAUUAGCAAAAAAACAAAAUGAGUUGAUUUAAAAAAUUGCAAAAGACCUGAAUAGGCAUUUUGCAAAAGAAGACAUACAAAUGGCCAAUAGGUAUAUGAAAAAAUUCUUAUCAUUACUAACCAUCAAAGAAUUGCAAAUCAAAACCACAAUGAGAUACCACCUCACAUCUUUUAUCAAAGGGACCAAAGAUGACACGUGUUGGCGAGAACGUGGAGAAAAGGAGACACUUUUGGUGGCAAUGUAAAUUAGUCCAGUCAUUGUGGAAAUAGUAUGGUGGUUUCUCAAAAGAUUAAAAAUAGAACUACUAUAAAAUCCAGCAAUUCCACUGCUGGGAUCUAAAGGAAGUGAAAUCAAUACGUCAAAUGAUAUCUGCACUCCACGUUAAUUGCAGACUAUUCACAAUAGCCAAACAUGGAAUCAACCUAUGUGUCCACCAACAGAUGAAUGAAUAAAGGAAUGUGGUAAAUAUACAAAAUGGAGCACUAUUCAACCUUAUAAAGAUAGAAAGUCUGUCAUUGUGGCAACAUGGAUGAACCUGGAAAACAUUACCUUUAAUAAGCCAAACACAGAAAGACAAAUACCACAUGAUCUUGCUAUAUGAGAAUCUAAAAAAGUUCUCAUAGAAGUAGAAAGUAUAAUAAUAGUUACCAGCGGCAGAGGGUGUUGGGGGGUUAGGGAGAUAUUUGUCAAAUGAGACAAAAUUUCAGUAAGGUGGGAGAAUUACAUUUAAGAGAUCUAUUGUACAAUAUGGCAACUAUAGAUAAUAAUAUAUUGUAUAUAUCCUUGAAAAACACUGAGAGUGUAUGUUAAGUGCUACCACACAAAUGAUAACUAUGUAAGGUAAUGCAUAUGGUAAUCAGCUAGAUUUAGUUAUUCUACAAUGUGUAUAUACUUCAAAAUGUGUUGUACACAGUAAAUACAAUUUUAUCUGUCAGUGAAAAUGUACAAACUAAGGGAAAAAAGGGGCACAGCCUUUGGGAAGCAAUUAGUCAUGAAGGCAGAGCCCGCCUGAUUGGGAUUAUUAUCCUGAUAUAAGAGGCCCAAGGGAGCUCCUUGACCCUUCCACCAUGUAAGAGAAGAGACAGAACAUACCAUCUAUGAGAAAUCAUCCCCUUACCGGGCACCAAAUCUGUUGACACCUUGAUCUUGGAUUUCCCAGCCUCCAGAACUGUAAAAAAUAAAUUCUUGUUUUUUAUAUGUUAAGAAAUAUUUAAAAAAUAAAAUAUUAACAACUUAUUGUGUAUGGUCUCUUUGGUUAUAGACCCAUUUUAACCUAAAUCUUAUCAGUUUAAUAAAUUAAAUUGUAAUGGUUAAAAAAAAAGCCGACAGCAGGAUUUCAAAAUAUAGGAGAUGCAGAAGGAGUUUUGAGGACAGUUGUUGGUAGGAGCAGAUAGACUGAAAGCAGAAAAAUCUCAUGCCAAUAGGGACCAGGCAAGUAAGGGGAAUGAAUGAAGUAGGCCAGAUUAGGGAUUUGAUAGGGAGGGGUGGGGACUGGGGAAACUGUCCUUUAUGUAAAUGUAUACCAAAGGAAGCAUCUGUUCAACUUUAGUUAUUGUCAUGGAGAAUUCAUGUCAAAUAGUACCAUAUCUUUCUGUUUUCAAGAGAAACUGAAUUUUCAAAAUUUAAAGUAAUUUCGCCUGUUUUAUUUCCUUUAGAUUUAGUUACUUUUAAACGCUGUAUAGGUAAAAGAAAAUAAGAGAUGAGAAUUGGAAACUUAAAUUUGUAUUUUUUUGUAAUUGCCUGAUAUUUUCAUCUAUACAUUUGCUUAAAUUACUGUUUAUGUUUUCAUUUAGCAUUUACAUGCAUUUUUUCACCUGCCUUAGAAUGGAUAUGAUUCAUACUUAACUGAUUACUAUUACUACAUAUCCCAAGUAAGUGGUUCUUUUCUUCUUUUUCUUUUGUGCUCUUUUCCUCAAUAGUUUCUUCUACAGCAUUUAUUGGUUUCAAGAGAUCUUGAAAAGAAGUGAUCAAUACAUCCAUAAUAUGAAUUCUAAAAUAAGUGGAUGAAGUUUUAGACAGGGGAAUAUAUGUGUGUACAGGUGUGUUCGUGUGUUUUAUUUAGUUUCAGGUACAAGAGAAAGUGUGGACAAAGCAUUUUUUUUUUUUUUGAGACAGAGUCUCGCUGGGUCUCCAGGUGCCAGGCUGGAGUGCAGUGGUGCAACCUCAGCUCACUGCAACCUCCACCUCCCAGGUUCAAGCAAUUCUCCUGCCUCAGCCUCCUGAGUAGCUGAGACUACAGGCAUGUGCCACCAUACCCAGGUAAUUUUUGUAUUUUUACUAAAGACGAGGUUUUACCAUGUUGGCCUGGAUAGUCUCAAUCUCUUGACCUCGUGAUCCACCCGCCUUGGCCUCCCAAGUGCUGGGAUUAUAGGCAUGAGCCACUGCGCCUGGCCCAGCAUUUUUAAAUAGAUUUGAGUUCUGGGACUUAAAAUGCAAGAGUACUAAAGGAAAAUUUUUAAAAGUCUAGAUAAGAGCACAAAGAAGGAAAUAAGAUCCAGGUAAAAGAGCUCUUAAAUGAAUACUAACAAGCUGAUGUAUCAAUCAAAUUAUACAAAAUUUCUAUAUCUUCUAUAUGGAGAUAUAAUGAUAGCUCAGUUGAUUUUAUUUUAAGCUACAUCUUUUAAGAAAUACUGAUGAAGAAAU
This 3788-nucleotide long non-coding RNA is filed under the name Callithrix jacchus (white-tufted-ear marmoset). RNAcentral describes it as "lncRNA (ENSCJAG00000079804.1)". Lineage: Eukaryota; Metazoa; Chordata; Mammalia; Primates; Cebidae. The record is from RNAcentral.